GGCGUUGGCCCACCCUCUCGUAGCUCACCCCGCGAGGCUGGACAGCUCCCGGAACCCCGGAACCGGGAUCUAUUUCGGGGGCUCGGCUGCGUGGCGCCCAGGACUCUCCAGGGUCUCCCAGGAUCGCUCCCUGGAUUCAAGUCGCGCUCUCUCUCUUUCGGGAACACCCGCUGAUGUCAGCCCACCAGCCAAAACCAGGGAGGAGAAGCGGGAGCCGGCCCUCCAGAGUCGGGAAAAGUCUUCAUCUCAGGAUCUCAAGCUCUUGGAUCAUGGGCACAGAUAACCUGUUGUCCUCCUCUAUGGUCAAGAGGCUGCUUUUGCAAGGAAUCCAGUGGGAGAGAGUCAAUGGCCUGCUUGACGUGAACUCCAAAGUCCUCCUGAAUACCAAUUUCUUACUGGAUCUGGAAAGGAGGAGAGAAGGAUGGAGAGUUUCUUCCAGGACCAAAUUGACUCCUCCACAAAUAGGAAGAUCCCCAGAGUGUGUGCACACACCCUCCUCCUCCUUCCUUCUCCAACCCUGGCUGGACAAUGACAUCACAUGGUGGAGGCUGUUUUUUAAGAAGAACCCAGGCCAGAUUUACAAGAAUGAUGCUCAGGCAGCGUGACUGUCAAGGACCGUGGCCAAGUGACCCAUAGCACACACCCAGCAGUGCUGAGAACACAGCUAGUCCCUUAGCACCUGGGGCUGACUCAUGGCUGCUGUAGGACCCAAUGCCAGAUGCCAGGAUUGCUUUCUCCCUCCAUUCAUUAGGAUUGUCCUGUGGAACCCUCCCCAGGAACACUUCUACCCCAUCCUGGCACACCAGGAGCCUGGAUACUGCAUAACACAGGUUACUCAUGUUUGUUUACCAAGCCUUGAAGAUGACAGGCAAUAUGCUGUUAUGCUCAAUGCAUCAUACAAAUUGUUUUAUUUAAAACUGAACUAUUAAAUUAAGUAUCAUAGCAACUCACUUUACAGACAAGGAAACUGAGGCUCAAAGGUUAAAUAAGGGUCAGGUAUGGUGGCUCACUCCUGUAAUCCCAGCAGUUUGGGAGACUGAGGUGGGAGGAGGAUUGCUUAAGCCUGGGAGUUUGAGACCAGCCUAGGCAAUAUAGGGAGACCCCAUCUCUACAAAAAAUUAUCUGGGCCUGGUGGUGUGUGCCUGUAGUCCCAGCUACUUGAGAGCCUGAGGUGGGAGGAUUGUUUGAGCCCAGAAGUUGAGGCUUCAGUGAGCCACGAUCAUGCCAUUGUACUCCAGCCUGGGCAGCAGAGCAAAACCCUGUAUUAAAAACGAACAAACAGGCCGUGCGCGGUGGCUCACGCCUGUAAUCCCAACACUUUGGGAGGGCAAGGCAGGUGGAUCACCUGAGAUCAGGAGUUGAAGACCAGCCUGGCCAACCUGGUGAAACCCCAUCUCUACUGAAAAUACAAAAAUUAGCUGGGCGUGGUGGCACAUGCCUGUAAUCCCAGCUACUUGGGAGGCUGAGGCAGGAGAAUCACUUGAACCUGGGAGGUGGAGGUUGCAGUGAGCCAAGAUAGUGCCACUGCACUCCAGACUGGGCGACAGAGCGAGACUCGGUCUCAAAAAAAAAAAAAAAAGAAGUUGGAGUAGUGUGAAGAAGAAGAGGUGAGAACAACCCCCAGACUGACCAAAGCCCGCGUGCCUGCCGUUGCAUCCUGCGUCCAGCACCUACAUCCCGCCACCAUCGCUGCCACCACCAUGCCCAAGACAAAGGCUGAAGGGGAUGCUAAAGGAGAUAAAGCCAAGGUGAAGGACAAAUCACAGAGAAGAUCUGCGAGGUUGUCUACUAAACUUGCUCCUCCAAAGCCACAGCCCAAGCCUAAAAAGGCCCCUGCAAAGAAGGGAGAGAAGGUACCCAAAGGGAAAAAGGGAAAAGGUGAUGUUGACAAGGAGGGGAAUAACCCUGCAGAAAAUGGAGAUACCAAAACAGACCAGGCACAGAGAGCUGAAGGUGCUGGAAAUGCCAAGUGAAGUGUGUGCAUUGUUGAUAACUGUGUACUUCUGGUGACUGUACAAUUUGAAAUACUAUUUUUUAUCAAGUUUUUAAAAAAUGCAGAAUUUUGUUUUACUUUUUUUUUUAAGCUAUGUUGCUAGCACACAUAACACUUCAUUGUUUUUUGGGGAAGGGGCAUAUGUCACUAAUAGAAUGUCUCCACAGCUGGAUUGAUGUGGGGAAAACACAUUUCCCUUCUGGUUUUGAAAGAUUUCCUCUUGGCUCUCAGGAGGAGGGAUUCCCUGACUUUGACACACAUGGCCACCUUGGCACAAAAGCCUUGUGCUAUGGAAAAACAAAUUCAUUUUUAUGUCCUUUUCUCCCUUUCCAUCCUUCAGCAUAGACUUAACUCCCUUAAGCCCAGACAUCUGUUGGGACCUGACCUCUAGUCAUUGGUUACCAGAGUGUCAGGCAAUCUGGACUUUCCAGUGAUGCCACUGAGAUGGCACUUGUCAAAAGAGCAGUGGUUCCAUUUCUAGAUUGUGGAUCUUCAGAUAAAUUCUGCCAUUUUCAUUUCACUUCCUGAAAGUCAGGUUUGGCCUAUGAAAAGUUGUUAAACAACAUGCUAAAUGUGAAAUAUCAAUCCUUACUCUAAACUUUCCCUGUUCAGAGCAUCAGAUGAAGACUUCAUUGGGUUUUAUAGUGGCUUUCUGAUUUUUGGUAGUCCAUUGAAGGAGAAGGGAGUUUGAAAGUUGUUGUAUACUGUUAACGAUUGUCUGCCCAUGUCCUGCCUGAAACGCCAUGAUUGUUUAUGGAAAGUAUCUUUAAUAAAACUGGAUACAGCUUAAAAAAAAA
Macaca mulatta (Rhesus monkey) is the source of this 2790-nucleotide long non-coding RNA. Lineage: Eukaryota; Metazoa; Chordata; Mammalia; Primates; Cercopithecidae. The record is from Ensembl.